This 400-nucleotide ribosomal RNA is filed under the name uncultured bacterium. RNAcentral describes it as "bacterial SSU rRNA". It matches the Rfam family "Bacterial small subunit ribosomal RNA", at positions 356 to 773 of the family's 1533-position model. The record is from RNAcentral.
GGGGAAUAUUGGACAAUGGGCGAAAGCCUGAUCCAGCAAUGCCGCGUGAGUGAUGAAGGCCUUAGGGUUGUAAAGCUCUUUCGCCUGUGACGAUGAUGACGGUAGCAGGAGAAGAAGCCCCGGCUAAUUCCGUGCCAGCAGCCGCGGUAAUACGGAAGGGGCUAGCGUUGUUCGGAUUUACUGGGCGUAAAGCGCGUGUAGGCGGCGCGGCAAGUGGGGCGUGAAAGGCCUGGGCUCAACCUGGGAAUUGCGCUUCGGACUGCCGUGCUUGAGGCCGGGAGAGGGUGGUGGAAUUCCGAGUGUAGAGGUGAAAUUCGUAGAUAUUCGGAGGAACACCGGUGGCGAAGGCGGCCACCUGGCCCGGACCUGACGCUGAAGUGCGAAAGCGUGGGGAGCAAAC